Molecule: long non-coding RNA, 448 nt
Organism: Oncorhynchus tshawytscha (Chinook salmon)
Lineage: Eukaryota; Metazoa; Chordata; Actinopteri; Salmoniformes; Salmonidae
Source: Ensembl
GGGGCUAGAGUAGAGAUGGGGCUAGGGGCUAGAGUAGAGAUGGGGAUAGGGGCUAGAGUAGAGAUGGGGCUAGGGGCUAGAGUAGAGAUGGGGCUAGGGGCUAGAGUAGAGAUGGGGAUAGGGGCUAGAGUAGAGAUGGGGCUAGGGGGCUAGAGUAGCGAUGGGGCUAGGGGCUAGAGUAGAGAUGGGGCUAGGGGCUAGAGUAGCGAUGGGGCUAGGGGCUAGAGUAGAGAUGGGGCUAGGGGAUAGAGUAGCGAUGGGGCUAGGGGCUAGAGUAGAGAUGGGGCUAGGAGAUAGAGUAGAGAUGAUGCUAGGGGCUAGAGUAGAGAUGGGGCUAGGAGGAUAGAGUAGAGAUGGGGCUAGAGGGCUAGAGUAGAGAUGGGGCUAGGGGCUAGAGUAGAGAUGGGGCUAGAGGCUAGAGUAGAGAUGGGGCUAGAGUAGAGAUGGG